Molecule: ribosomal RNA, 468 nt
Filed under: uncultured bacterium
Lineage: Bacteria
Description: partial 16S ribosomal RNA
Rfam family: Bacterial small subunit ribosomal RNA
Source: RNAcentral
GACGAACGCUGGCGGCGUGCUUAACACAUGCAAGUCGAACGGAAAGACCCUGCUUUUGUGGGGUGCUCGAGUGGCGAACGGGUGAGUAACACGUGAGUAACCUGCCCUUGACUUUGGGAUAACUUCAGGAAACUGGGGCUAAUACCGGAUAGGAGCUCCUGCUGCAUGGGGGGGGUUGGAAAGUUUCGGCGGUUGGGGAUGGACUCGCGGCUUAUUAGCUUGUUGGUGGGGUAGUGGCUUACCAAGGCUUUGACGGGUAGCCGGCCUGAGAGGGUGACCGGCCACAUUGGGACUGAGAUACGGUCCAGACUCCUACGGGAGGCAGCAGUGGGGAAUAUUGCACAAUGGGCGGAAGCCUGAUGCAGCAACGCCGCGUGCGGGAUGACGGCCUUCGGGUUGUAAACCGCUUUCGCCUGUGACGAAGCGUGAGUGACGGUAAUGGGUAAAGAAGCACCGGCUAACUACGUG